Molecule: transfer RNA, 92 nt
Filed under: Aeromonas phage 4_4572
Lineage: Duplodnaviria; Heunggongvirae; Uroviricota; Caudoviricetes; Grimontviridae
Description: tRNA-Ser
Source: RNAcentral
GGAAGCUUGGCAGAGUCCGGCUUAUUGCAGUAGUCUUGAAAACUACCAACCCCUAAAAAGGUUCAUCCGUUCAAAUCGGAUAGCUUCCGCCA